GCGCGCGCAAUCGCGACAGUAUAUUGGUUGCAUCGCUAGACGGCGAACGCGAAACAUGAUUGUGUGAGCAAGCGGAACGUGUCCUUGACUGCACAAGUCCGCUAUGUCCUACACACCCACCUACCGGACACCGUGAGUCGAAGCGGACCGAAGAAGAACGCACCGCGCACCGCUCCUGCCCGCGGGAUCCGUAUGCGUUCAGCGAGCUCAAUCAAAAACGAGCAACAGAAAACGAGAAAAGAAGAAAAGAGAGGACAGAAAGAGAGAGAAAGGGACAGUCGAGAUAUUCUUGAAAGUGAAAAGCUACUUUUCCACGUGGUUUGUCUCUUCACCUCUAUCAAAGAGGAUAUCUCUUUCUCUCCUUGGGAAGAGGGACGAUUCUUCGACGGCCGCAUUAAUUUCUCGCUUCCGUGGACAGACGACGCGACGGUUCGAAAAGAGAAAGAAGAGUCCCGUCAGCGUGUUACACUGUUCAGCUGUAAUAGUCGGUUGAGUAAGAAGAAAGCGGCCUUGCGCUACUUUCCAUCGUUAGAUAAUAUCGGUAAUACAAUUUUCUCUGGCUUUAUAACUCUCAAUCGUGGAAGAGAAAAGAUGAUUUUACAGGGUAGAUACAGCAGGGUUGGAAAUACUGAAAAAUUUCUGCUGAAUUUACCGGUGAUGUAAACACAGUAAUAUACCGUUGGUUAUGCAGAUGAUCAAUAAGAACUUCUUUUUUACUUUUAGACACAAUUUGUCUUGUUCUAGUCUCGAAUAGCAAAUAAAUUUGUCUCUCUUCUUAUGAAAAUGAGUAGAAUAGUGAUAAUUUUCUUGAAAUGAUGAUGAAAGAGAAAAAAUGAGAUGCCUUUAAAUUAGUGAGAACAGAUGACAGCUCGAUCAGCCAAGAAACAGGAAUAGUUGAAUGACUUCUGACGACGUUCUUCGAUUUCGAUCAGGGUGACCCAAGGAUCAGACACAGGUCUUUCAAAAAACACUCGAGAGACUCAGAAAGAUUAAGAAUCGAGAUACCAUGAGUUCAGUAGGUCAAGGUUGUGGUGAGAGUUUGAGAGUAAUCUGUCCUGCUCUGUUUUGCUCUGGCAACGGUUGACGAAAGAGGAAGAACACGGAGAAAGACGGGCAAAGGAAUCAUGACUGUGGAGGUAUGAGGUAGCCAUGGUAGGGGAACACAGGAUGAAGAGGUAUUCAUUCUACGGCCGUAACACUUUUACGGAUUACAUUUUCGUGUUGCACAACCGCGAUUACACAACCGGCAUUAGAUAAUCGCCGAAUCGUUUUAGACAAACUCGGGGACCGUUAGACGUUUAUAAACGCUAAUAAGUUGCCUGCGGUAGGUUCCUCGUACGGAAGACCUCGGUAAACUCUCUCAGCAAUCCUUGUCAUCUAGGAAGUGAGCUUCCCCGUAAAUAUUUGCUUGAAUGUAGACCGCGUUUUAGUUUUAUCCGAAAGUUCUUGGAAAUGUAUAACCUCUCAAUCUCGAAUGAACAUGCACAAUUUAAGCGUUGUUGUGAGAGAAAUUAAAGAUAUUAUACAUUGAAUUAAAUUCGUAAAUAUUCGUUCCAUAAUUAAAUCUACAAAAUUUCUAAUUGUUAAGAAACUGAAACUUCUUCCAUUAUUGCAAUAAUUGAUGCAAUUCAUGGAAUAUUUUCAUCAUAUUACUAAAUACCUAAUCCUAAUAAAUAAUCUAACCUAACCUAAUAAAUAAAUUUUUUAAUGCUUUCUGAAUAUCAGAUUUAAGCAAAUUAUAAUCAUUGAUAUCUAAAGCGAAUUGGCGACUUUAAUGUUAAAUAUCUAGAUCGAGAUAGCUUUGGACUUUGUCGUGGUUAUCUCAAAAACCACUGCCGCUGACUAUAUGUACUCAAAUGCAUACAUCCAUUUUUCUUCGAGCCAAACCAGGCACAAUCGUUCGCUCUAUAAUGGCGAAUUGAGUCAGUAGGGUCACUCUAACGGGCUAACGGGUCAUGUAAUGGUGCAGCGUGCAUUACGCAUUCAGUGACGCAAUCCUUUGAUCAAGAACCAGCUACUGCCAUUCAUGGUGCGCGAAAGUUCAAACAUCUUAUUGAAUAAUUGGAACAGCAGGUUACUGUCAAACUGUCUUUCGGCUAAAACCUAAUAAUUACCCUUUUGCCCAUGAAAAUCACUAAGAUACGUUUACUGGCAUAAAAGAUGAGUCAAAUGUAGAAAGAGGAACAGAAUGAUCAUCGACAAGGAAACGAAACGAGAUUAACCAUUCUUCAUGAAUGUCGAUACGCGUGUAACGUCUUUCGAUGGUACCAUGCAUACAAUGAUGUAUUACAGCAAGUAGGCAAACGUAACUGUUUUAUUAAACCGUAAGCUGCGUCUUCAUGCGGUCGGUACUUACGUAAU
Bombus pyrosoma is the source of this 2361-nucleotide long non-coding RNA. RefSeq lists it as uncharacterized. The transcript is spliced from 3 exons. The record is from RefSeq and is a predicted model, not a curated record. NCBI's taxonomy places the organism in Eukaryota, Metazoa, Arthropoda, Insecta, Hymenoptera, Apidae.